RNAcentral lists this transfer RNA (65 nucleotides) under Byrrhus sp. MJTNT-2012. RNAcentral's name for it is "tRNA-Pro". The record is from RNAcentral. Lineage: Eukaryota; Metazoa; Arthropoda; Insecta; Coleoptera; Byrrhidae.
CAGGGAAUAGUUUAAAAAAUAAUAGUUUUGGAGACUAUAGAUAGAAAGAAUUUUCUUUUCCUGAA